RNAcentral lists this ribosomal RNA (300 nucleotides) under uncultured Paenibacillus sp. RNAcentral describes it as "bacterial SSU rRNA". It matches the Rfam family "Bacterial small subunit ribosomal RNA", at positions 495 to 795 of the family's 1533-position model. Lineage: Bacteria; Bacillati; Bacillota; Bacilli; Caryophanales; Paenibacillaceae. The record is from RNAcentral.
GGCGGACAGCGUGCCAGGAGCGGGGGUAAUUGGUGGGGGGCGGGCGUUGGCCGGAAGUAUGGGGCGUACAGGGCGCGUAGGCGGUUUGUCACGUCGGGAGUGAAAACUCGGGGCUCAACCCCGAGCCUGCUUCCGAUACGGGCAGACUAGAGGUAUGCAGGGGAGAACGGAAUUCCUGGUGUAGCGGUGAAAUGCGCAGAUAUCAGGAGGAACACCGGUGGCGAAGGCGGUUCUCUGGGCAUUACCUGACGCUGAGGAGCGAAAGUGUGGGGAGCGAACAGGAUUAGAUACCCAGUAGUC